This 253-nucleotide ribosomal RNA is filed under the name uncultured bacterium. RNAcentral describes it as "partial 16S ribosomal RNA". It matches the Rfam family "Bacterial small subunit ribosomal RNA", at positions 524 to 776 of the family's 1533-position model. The record is from RNAcentral.
UACGGGGGGGGCAAGCGUUGUUCGGAAUUACUGGGCGUAAAGGGCUCGUAGGUGGCCAACUAAGUCAGACGUGAAAUCCCUCGGCUUAACCGGGGAACUGCGUCCGAUACUGGAUGGCUUGAGUUCGGGAGAGGGAUGCGGAAUUCCAGGUGUAGCGGUGAAAUGCGCAGAUAUCAGGAGGAACACCGAUGGCGAAGGCAGGUCUCUGGGCAUUAACUGACGCUGAGGAGCGAAAGCGUGGGUAGCAAACAGG